RNAcentral lists this ribosomal RNA (564 nucleotides) under uncultured bacterium. RNAcentral's name for it is "bacterial SSU rRNA". It matches the Rfam family "Bacterial small subunit ribosomal RNA", at positions 338 to 916 of the family's 1533-position model. The record is from RNAcentral.
CCUACGGGAGGCAGCAGUGGGGAAUCUUGCACAAUGGGCGAAAGCCUGAUGCAGCAACGCCGCGUGCGGGAAGAAGGCCCUAGGGUUGUAAACCGCUUUCAGUAGGGAAGAAAAUGACGGUACCUACAGAAGAAGGUGCGGCCAACUACGUGCCAGCAGCCGCGGUGACACGUAGGCACCAAGCGUUAUCCGGAUUUAUUGGGCGUAAAGAGCUCGUAGGCGGUUCGGUAAGUCGGGUGUGAAAACUCUGGGCUCAACCCAGAGAGGCCACCCGAUACUGCUGUGACUAGAGUGCGGUAGGGGAGCGGGGAAUUCCUGGUGUAGCGGUGAAAUGCGCAGAUAUCAGGAGGAACACCAGCGGCGAAGGCGCCGCUCUGGGCCGUAACUGACGCUGAGGAGCGAAAGCAUGGGUAGCAAACAGGAUUAGAUACCCUGGUAGUCCAUGCCGUAAACGUUGGGCACUAGGUGUGGGUCUCAACCAACGAGAUCCGCGCCGUCGCUAACGCAUUAAGUGCCCCGCCUGGGGAGUACGGUCGCAAGACUAAAACUCAAAGGAAUUGACGG